UCUUACAGCCAUACCACCCUAAGCGCACCCAAUCUCUUCUGAUCUCGGAAGCUAAGCAGGGUCGGGCCUGGUUAGUACUUAAAUGGGAGAAAUACAGAUUCUUAGCAGCAUUCCAGAC
Vulpes vulpes (red fox) is the source of this 118-nucleotide ribosomal RNA. NCBI's taxonomy places the organism in Eukaryota, Metazoa, Chordata, Mammalia, Carnivora, Canidae. The record is from Ensembl.